UAUUAGUGUAAGUUACUCGGUAUUGAUUUUAGGACUGUUCUACAUCUAAUAUAUGAUUGUUUUUCAUCUUUCAGAAUGGACCAGCCGUUCAUUCAUGAGUCCCCCCGGCUUCCGGUCUCCGGUGUUGAGCAGAGUGUCGGUGUGUUACCCUCUCCCUGGCCUGCCUCUCCAUGUCCGCCUCCCCCUGCAGCAUCUCGGCUCGGUCCUCCGCCUCGUACGCUACUUGCUGCAGACUUUGGAUUUUCCUUCUCACCGCGUCUAUGGACGUCAAGGACGCCAUGCUGUGCACACUCUACUCCGCUGCUCCUAGGUGUCACGGUGUUUCCGUGGCAACGGCGUCAGAGGUCGGAAUCGACGCAUGAUACUUCCGGUUACAGUUUCAAAAUAAAGUGAUUAGCCCCUUAUUUUGACAUGAAACCGCAUGCAACGCGAAAAACGGGACCCGGCAGAAAAAGAACAUGAUGAUGGACCCAUGAUCUCAGUAUCCUGGCUAUGACCUUGCCGCGGAGCAGUGGCGGACUCAGGCUGUCUGAGGGGCAGGGGUGAAAAAAACAAAAAGGGCACCAGCUUCGUGGUGGGACAACACGCACAAACUGAACGUUGCACAUUGACUCGUAUUCAUUGGAAAUUCUUGCCUUUUGAGCGUCAACAAAAGCUAGCAUAGACGAUCGGUAUUCUCGAUUGAUCGAUUCAGAAACAAAACCUCCAUGCAGCGUAACUUUGACUAUAGAAUAACAAAGUUCUAUGGGCCCCUUUGGGAUUUUGGGCAGUAUUCGGUAUGCCUGUACAGUAUUCCGUCCCUGCAGAGGGCCCUUCAUCAUGUUUUUUGCACACUGACCCACCAUAGAGGGCAUAUUACCUUGUUUUAUUUACGAAAGGGUCAUUCAGUAGGGCACUUUUGCUGCAUUUUUUUUAACAUGGGGUAACCAGGGAGGUUGACCUUGGCUCAUCAUCAGCAGACGGUCAGAUGUCCCACAUUAACAAUAUAUUAAUAUACUAAUACUGAUAUAUUCAUAUUAUUAUACAGCACCAUUUAUUAUUAAACAGUAUCUCAAAAAAUAAUAGAAUGUGUAUUUAUAUAAGAAAAUGCAGGUGACUGCUGCAAAAAAAAAAAUUCGUGCUGUACCCUGAUUCAUGACAUUUCAGCCAUUACGUAAAGUGCUACAUAACUGACCACAUGGUGGUGCUAUUCAUAAUAUGUUUCAACAUAUUGAGCAUUUCCCAAUGGGGCAUCUUUCUUCCAUGUAUUAUUUCUUUAUUAGGCUAGUAUUUGAGGUAUUGAAGAUUUUAUGCACUCUCCCAUAGAUUGCAAUCCAAUGCAAAUAAUCAUAAAAAAAUAAUAAAAAUAGAUAUUGAUGGUAGAGUAUAGUUUAGUAGUAGUGCAUGCUACAAUCACACUAAAUAUAUAGCACUGAUAUUAACUAGAGAAGAGAUUGUGGUGGGGCUGCUGGCUGCUGACAAACUGACAUGAGCUGUAGUGAGAAAGGGAGAUGACAUUUAAGUGUCUUAAUAAGGAUAAAACAGCUGAGGUCUAGAACCUGUACUACCUUGUACUAAUUGUUACAGUUUAGUGUGUGUUGUGUGGCUGUACAUUAUUGUUAUCACUAAUACCUGUGUUGCGCUGCCUUAAAGCCUUCUGUGACAUCCAGUAUGUGGCAGUGGUUUCACAAUAAUGUCAGUCAACUGGUUUUUACACAUUUUACAUAUAUGCUGAAUCUGUGCUGCUCUGGCUUGGAGGUAGAGCGGGUCGUCCACUAAUCGGAUACAUUGGUGUAUCGGUGUGUGAAUGGGGCGAAUGUGACGUGUAGUGUGAAACGCUUUUUGGUCAGAAGACCAGAAGGGCGGAGGUAGAGUUGAAAAUAGCAUUUACCGGCAAUGUAAAUGCUGAAAUGUUUGUAAGUGACACAUGUUUAUCUGUAAUAAAGCACAUUUAGUAUCA
Molecule: long non-coding RNA, 1939 nt
Organism: Micropterus dolomieu (smallmouth bass)
Lineage: Eukaryota; Metazoa; Chordata; Actinopteri; Centrarchiformes; Centrarchidae
Exons: 2
Source: RefSeq, a predicted model, not a curated record